GACGACGCUGGCGGCGUGCCUAACACAUGCAAGUCGAGCGGGGUUGAAGCGAGAGGUAACUCGAACUUCUACCUAGCGGCGGACGGGUGAGUAACGCGUGGGCAACCUGCCUCAAGGUCUGGGAUAACAGCCCGAAAGGGCUGCUAAUACUGGGUAUGCUUGUGGCCUCGCAUGGGGCUAUGAGCAAAGGGGAAACCCGCCUUGAGAUGGGCCCGCGUCCCAUCAGCUAGUUGGUGAGGUAACAGCUCACCAAGGCGACGACGGGUAGCCGGCCUGAGGGGGUGACCGGCCACACUGGGACUGAGACACGGCCCAGACUCCUACGGGGGGCAGCAGUGGGGGAUCUUGCACAAUGGGCGAAAGCCUGAUGCAGCGACGCCGCGUGAGCGAAGAAGGCCUUCGGGUUGUAAAGCUCUGUCUGGAGGGACGAAGGAAGUGACGGUACCUCCGGAGGAAGCCACGGCUAACUACGUG
This 474-nucleotide ribosomal RNA is filed under the name uncultured bacterium. RNAcentral describes it as "bacterial SSU rRNA". It matches the Rfam family "Bacterial small subunit ribosomal RNA", at positions 33 to 507 of the family's 1533-position model. The record is from RNAcentral.